UUUUUCAAUUGAUAACAUGAAUUAGUAUCAUGCCCUAUAUCAUUGUGGAAUUCGCAGUACUUGCUUCUAUCUCUUCGCCCUGUGUCAGGCAUCUUGGGUGGUGCUGGAAAUGUCUUUCCUAUUGUUUCUGUUAGCAGGAUUUCCCUUGGUGUCUUGGUCAUUUCUCUUCUUUUAUCUUCUCUAUUAUAGGGGGUGUAAUGGGCUUGGUUGUCUUUCCUUUCAUUCCAUUUACCUUUUGUGUUUCUUGAUAGGUCUUCACUGUUUGUUGAAAUUUCUUUUGUGUCCAGGAAUUUAUGCGCCCUUUAUUGUGCCUCGUCGUAUGUUUCAGCCAAAUAUGUGUUCAAACGUUCGACAAGCUCCCUACUUCGACAUCCAUGUAUUAAACCAGAUACUCUUUGGGAUUCUGGCACUCCGGGAAUUCCUUGGGUUUCACUAGUGUAUCGCUGGAUGAAGUCUCUUGUUGUUUUGUUCUCUCUUUGUCUGAUGUUGUGGACUGAGACAUGUGUCUUCUUAUGUUUCUUUUGUUGGCUAAAAUGAGAUUGGAAUUUUGAUCUAAGAUCAUCAAAGCUGUUUAUAGAUCCUUCUUGGAGGCUUGAUAGCCAUUCUCUUGCAUCGCUCAUGAGGCCCAUUCUGAAUGCUUUGCAUGCUACUGGCUCUAUCCAAUUUUGCAUUUCUGCUGCCCAUUCAAAGGCUUGAAGGAAAUCAUCGGGGUCGUCAUUCCCGUUAUACGUCCCCAGAUAGGAGGGGUAUUUCAUGUUUGCUGGUAAUGGAUAAUUUCUGAUCCAUUCUGCAAAUGGUGAUUUUUGUAAAGUUUUGCUCAAGGUAAAUGGUCUUGGCAUGAUAACUUGUCCUGGGUACAAAUUUUGAUUCCAGGGGUAUGCCGUGUAAAUGUUGGGUUGUGGUCCAGUGUUCUGAAUGGGUUGAAAAUAUUGUGGUUGUUCUAUGGACCAACAUUGAUAGCCUGAGUGGUAUGGACCCUUGGUAUUUGAGUGGCCUUGGUUGUGCGCUUCUCCUGUUCUGUUCUGAAACCCUGGGGUUGCUGGCUGGAAUCCUGGGUGUGUUUGUGUUCCUGGGUAAUUCGGAACCAUGGUACGUAUUGGAUGUGGGUAUUUCUUGUUUGCUGGCUUGAAUGCUUGGGAUAUUGGAUGUGGCUGCCAUGGUACGUAUCUCGCUGAACUUGCUUGAUUAUUCUGCAUGUAUUGCUCUUGUCCCCAGGCUUGGGAGGUUGGGACAUAAUGACCUUAGGGUCCAUUUAGGAAGGCUAAGGCACAUAGACCCUGGGUGUAGGUAUUUUGUUGCCCUUGUGAGUAAUUUUGGUGAUUUGGCGUAUUUUGAAAAUGAUUAUGUUGAUUAUGGGUAACGGUAGAUCCUGGGUUUUGUGUACCCAGGGUAUUGAUAUGGGAAUCUGGGGUUUGUGUUCCUGGGGUAUUGAUAUGAGAUCCUGGGGUUUGUAUUCCCAGAGUAUUGGUUUGAGAUCCUGGGGUUUGUGCUCCCAGGGUAUUGGUUUGAGAUCCUGGGGUUUGUGUUCCCAGGGUAUUGGUUUGAGAUCCUGGGGUUUGUGUUCCUACGGUAUUGGUUUGACAUCCUGGGGUUUGUGCUCCCAGGGUAUUCGUUUGAGAUCCCGGGGUUUGUGCUCCCAGGUAUUGGUUUGAGAUCCUGGGGUUUGUGUUCCCAGUGAUGAUGUAUCAUGGCUAUUGAAGGCUUCAUCGAAAUUGAUCGUCCUUCCGGUUAUCACCCCAGUUGUAUGAAGGUGACGUAGGGUAAUGAUGAUGCUGUCAUGAUUUUGGAGUAUAUAUGCCUCAUCGAACAAUGGUGUUGAAGUGGAGGCAAUGAUUGUUGUUCCUGAUGGAGGUGUUAUGAGUGUUCCUCCAACAUUUCUGUUGAGAUCUAUGCUUGCAUUGGUUUGGGCAGGGCCGGUUUGUGCGAUGUUGAAUCCGGGUGCUCCAUUUGAGUCAUCCAUGUUCUAGGAUUAGGGUUUUUGUGAAAGGAAAAAAAAACUUUCGUGAUUUUGGUGGUUGAUGGGUUGCAAGUGAGAUGCGUCCCGUGGAUGGCGCCAAUUAUUUGUACAACGAGGCGGGAUCCUAGAACGGAGAGGAUGAGGGGUUUAUGGUUGUAUGUUGGCGAUUCCCUUACGGCAAGAUGUGAGAACCUUUAGUACGCCAACUAUGUGUUGUAUGUGUGUUGAGAGUGCAGAGAAUGAAUCGAAUUGUGUGUAUUGUAUCCCCUUUUAUAGGGUGAAGAUGUCGUGUCCUCCAAGUAGGGUUUUCCCCUAUUGGAGUAGAUUGGUUGCCUGCUUUUGAGGAGAUUCGUAGCUAUCCAGCUUCUUAAGAGAUAAGUAUAAAUCUCGUUAUUGAUAGAAUGUGUAUCCUUUCCUUAAUAGUCGGAUCCAGGGUAGUCUGCGUGUAGGCUCCGUAGUGAGGCUGGGUGAGUAAUACCAACCGUUUGUACUCUUUUCAUUAAAGAGAUCUGGCAGGUAUUGGAGUGACAACUAAUGACAUUGGAGACAUUCCAUCUCUUUCCAUAUUGAUAUAUUUAGAUCUUUUCAACAACAGAGGGAUUAAAGCUGUUCUUCCACAAUCUAUACAGAAAUUGCAGAAUCUAACGACGCUUUUUAGGGGUCCAAUUCCAGAUUCAUUAGGCUCCCUCGAGAAGCUAGUCUAUUUGGGACUCAAUAAUAAUAGCUUCACUGGACCUAUGCCACCAUCCAUUGGUAGUUUAACUAAUCUAUCAUGGUUAGAUCUAAGCGAUAAUCAGCUUACAGGAUCCAUCCGUGUGUCUAAUGGAACAGCCUUAGGACUUGACAUGCUUCUGAAAGCUCCCACUUGUAUGUUAUAAUGUCUGUUGUAUCACAUUUAUGAGUAUAUCAUUAUUUUGAAGAGAUUUCUCGUCCUUGUAAGAUCAAUUUCUAAUAUAUUUUGGUCAUUAGGCAGUCAUUUGGCAAA
Molecule: long non-coding RNA, 2942 nt
Organism: Erigeron canadensis
Lineage: Eukaryota; Viridiplantae; Streptophyta; Magnoliopsida; Asterales; Asteraceae
Exons: 4
Source: RefSeq, a predicted model, not a curated record